Molecule: ribosomal RNA, 497 nt
Filed under: uncultured bacterium
Lineage: Bacteria
Description: partial 16S ribosomal RNA
Rfam family: Bacterial small subunit ribosomal RNA
Source: RNAcentral
GAUGAACGCUGGCGGCGUGCCUAAUACAUGCAAGUCGAGCGAACAGACGAGGAGCUUGCUCCUCCGACGUUAUAGGCGGACGGGUGAGUAACACGUGGAUAACCUACCUAUGAGACUCGGAUAACAUCAGCAAACCGGAGCUAAUACCGGAAAAUAUAUUGAACAGCAUGGUUCAAUAGUUGAAGUAGGUUUUGCUGUCACUAAUAGAUGAAUCAGCCGCUCAUUAGCUAGUUGGUAAGGAAACUGCUUACCAAGGCAACGAUGGAAAGCCGACCUGAGAGCGUGAUCCGCCAGACUGUAACUGAGACUCUGUCCACACUCUGGCGGGAGGAAGCAGUAGGGAAUCCUCCGCAAUGCGCGAAAGCCUGACGGUGCAACGUCGCGGGAGUGCUGAUCGUCUUCGGAUGCGAAAGCGCUGAUAUUAGGAAAGAAGAAAUGUUCAAGUAGCUAUGCACGUAUUGACGGUACCUACACAGAAAGCCACGGCUAACUUCGUG